Molecule: ribosomal RNA, 831 nt
Filed under: uncultured bacterium
Lineage: Bacteria
Description: bacterial SSU rRNA
Rfam family: Bacterial small subunit ribosomal RNA
Source: RNAcentral
GAGUUUGAUCCUGGCUCAGAAUCAACGCUGGCGGCGUGCCUCAGACAUGCAAGUCGAACGCGAAAGUUCCCUUCGGGGAGCGAGUAGAGUGGCGCACGGGUGAGUAACACGUAGGUAAUCUACCUUUGGAUGGGGAAUAACAACCGGAAACGGUUGCUAAUACCGCAUAAUGCAGCGGCACCUAAUGGUGACAGUUGUUAAAGCGGGGGAUCGUAAGACCUCGCGUCUGAAGAGGAGCCUGCGGCAGAUUAGCUAGUUGGUAAGGUAAUGGCUUACCAAGGCUAUGAUCUGUAGCCGGCCUGAGAGGGCGGUCGGCCACACUGACACUGACAUACGGGUCAGACUCCUACGGGAGGCAGCAGUCGGGAAUUUUGGGCAAUGGGCGAAAGCCUGACCCAGCAACGCCGCGUGAAGGAUGAAAUCCUUCGGGAUGUAAACUUCGCAAGAACAGGAAGAAUAAACCGGUGUGAAUAUCACCGGCGAUGACGGUACUGUUUGUAAGCUCCGGCUAACUCCGUGCCAGCAGCCGCGGUAAUACGGGGGGAGCAAGCGUUGUUCGGAUUUACUGGGCGUAAAGGGCGCGUAGGCGGCCACCGCAAGUCGGUUGUGAAAUCUCCGGGCUUAACCCGGAAAGGUCAAUCGAUACUGCGGGGCUAGAGUGCAGAAGGGGCAACUGGAAUUCUCGGUGUAGCGGUGAAAUGCGUAGAUAUCGAGAGGAAUACCUGCGGCGAAGGCGGGUUGCUGGGCUGACACUGACGCUGAAGCGCGAAAGCUAGGGGAGCGAACGGGAUAGAUACCCCGGUAGUCCUAGCCUUAAACGAUGAAUGCUUG